UAGGGAAUCUUCCACAAUGGGCGCAAGCCUGAUGGAGCAACACCGCGUGAGUGAAGAAGGGUUUCGGCUCGUAAAGCUCUGUUGUUAAAGAAGAACACGUAUGAGAGUAACUGUUCAUACGUUGACGGUAUUUAACCAGAAAGUCACGGCUAACUACGUGCCAGCAGCCGCGGUAAUACGUAGGUGGCAAGCGUUAUCCGGAUUUAUUGGGCGUAAAGAGAGUGCAGGCGGUUUUCUAAGUCUGAUGUGAAAGCCUUCGGCUUAACCGGAGAAGUGCAUCGGAAACUGGAUAACUUGAGUGCAGAAGAGGGUAGUGGAACUCCAUGUGUAGCGGUGGAAUGCGUAGAUAUAUGGAAGAACACCAGUGGCGAAGGCGGCUACCUGGUCUGCAACUGACGCUGAGACUCGAAAGCAUGGGUAGCGAACA
Molecule: ribosomal RNA, 427 nt
Filed under: uncultured bacterium
Lineage: Bacteria
Also listed under: 1 other name
Description: bacterial SSU rRNA
Rfam family: Bacterial small subunit ribosomal RNA
Source: RNAcentral